UUCGCGGGAGUCACCGUGGCCCAGCAUCGGCCUUCGUGAGCCCGAGGCAUUGGUCGCGGCGGGGUCGUUCGAAGGCGAUCCCGCGGAAC
This 89-nucleotide transfer RNA is filed under the name Enhygromyxa salina. RNAcentral describes it as "tRNA-Thr". Lineage: Bacteria; Pseudomonadati; Myxococcota; Nannocystales; Nannocystaceae. The record is from RNAcentral.